Molecule: ribosomal RNA, 691 nt
Filed under: uncultured marine archaeon
Lineage: Archaea
Description: bacterial SSU rRNA
Rfam family: Archaeal small subunit ribosomal RNA
Source: RNAcentral
AGAGUCUUAGGGACUCGGCGUACCGCUCAGUAACACGUGGGUAACCUGCCCUAUGCUGGGGAAUAACCUCGGGAAACUGAGAAUAAUGCCCCAUAGUCCACCAUGCCUGGAACGGUUGGUGGAUUAAAGCUCCGGCGGCAUAGGAUGGGCCUGCGGCGUAUCAGGUCGUAGGGGGUGUAACGUACCCUCUAGCCAUCGACGCGUACGGGUGUUGGGAGACAUAGCCCGGAGAUGGAUUCUGAGACACGAAUCCAGACCCUACGGGGUGCAGCAGGCGCGAAAACUUGGCAAUGCGAGAAAUCGUGACCAGGGAACUCCAAGUGGCUGGGGUAAGACCCAGUCUUUUCUUGACUCUUCAACGGUCUUGGAAUAAGGGGUGGGUAAGGACGGUGCCAGCCGCCGCGGUAAUACCGGCGCCUCGAGUGGUAGUCGAUUUUAUUGGGCCUAAAACGUCCGUCGCCGGUCUGGUGCAUUCGUGGGUAAAUCAACCCGCUCAACGGGUUGAAUUCUGCGAGCACGGCCAGACUAGGGACCGGGAGAGGUGUGGGGUACGCUCGGGGUAGGGGUAAAAUCCUGUCAUCCCGAGCGGACCACCUGUUGCGAAGGCUCCACACUAGAACGGAUCCGACGGUCAGGGACGAAGCCUAGGGGCACGAACCGGAUUAGAUACCCGGGUAGUCCUAGGUGUAAA